Molecule: ribosomal RNA, 487 nt
Filed under: uncultured bacterium
Lineage: Bacteria
Description: bacterial SSU rRNA
Rfam family: Bacterial small subunit ribosomal RNA
Source: RNAcentral
GAUGAACGCUAGCGGGAGGCUUAACACAUGCAAGUCGAGGGGCAGCACGGGUAGCAAUACCUGGUGGCGACCGGCAGACGGGUGAGUAACGCGUAUGUAACCUACCCUGUACAGGGGGAUAACCCGGAGAAGUUCGGACUAAUAUCCCAUGGAAAUAUUGAGAGGCAUCUUUUGAUAUUUGUUAAAAAUUUAUUGCUGAUAGAUGGGCAUGCGUUCCAUUAGGUAGUUGGAGAGGUAACGGCUCACCAAGCCCACGAUGGAUAGGGGAACUGAGAGGUUGGUCCCCCACACUGGUACUGAGACACGGACCAGACUCCUACGGGAGGCAGCAGUGAGGAAUAUUGGUCAAUGGGCGAGAGCCUGAACCAGCCAAGUCGCGUGAAGGAAGAAGGAUCUAUGGUUCGUAAACUUCUUUUGCAGGGGAAUAAAGUGCAGGACGUGUCCUGUUUUGUAUGUACCCUGAGAAUAAGGAUCGGCUAACUCCGUG